UACGUAGGGUGCAAGCGUUAAUCGGAAUUACUGGGCGUAAAGCGUGCGCAGGCGGUUAUGUAAGUCAGAUGUGAAAUCCCCGGGCUCAACCUGGGAAUGGCAUUUGAGGCUGCAUGGCUAGAGUGUGUCAGAGGGGGGUAGAAUUCCACGUGUAGCAGUGAAAUGCGUAGAUAUGUGGAGGAAUACCGAUGGCGAAGGCAGCCCCCUGGGAUAACACUGACGCUCAUGCACGAAGGCGUGGGGAGCAAACAGG
Molecule: ribosomal RNA, 253 nt
Filed under: uncultured bacterium
Lineage: Bacteria
Description: partial 16S ribosomal RNA
Rfam family: Bacterial small subunit ribosomal RNA
Source: RNAcentral